This 1244-nucleotide long non-coding RNA is filed under the name Mus musculus (house mouse). RNAcentral's name for it is "RIKEN cDNA 2610307P16 gene". The record is from RNAcentral. Lineage: Eukaryota; Metazoa; Chordata; Mammalia; Rodentia; Muridae.
GGUGAAGGGCGGCUUCCUAACUUUGUUUCCCAAGUCCCCUAACUUCGGAAUGCUUCUGCAUUGGUUCUUGCUCAGUGUCAUACCAGCGACUCCAAGAGUCAUGUCACCCACUUAGCAGGAGUACUUCUACUGAAAUGCCUUCGAAUUUCUCUUACUGGAUAUAUACCUACCAGCCGCUAGCAUGAAGAUGCCAGGACCGCUGCAAGUUAGCACUGGACAAAGUAGCAUCAACUUCUUCAUUUAGAGUUUCUUCAGUUAAAUUGCUGGGAUUUUCGACAAGGCUUUCCUUAUGUGGAUUAUUGGAGUGUGAUGCCCGAGAAUUCUCUACUUGUAGAAGCACGCCCACGGGACUGCAGAAGCCUUCACACCCACCCAGCACGCUCAGAUCAUCCAGUAACCAACCCAGGAAGUUCUUGUAAGCAUGCAUUUCUUAGUCAACACUGAAUGCCUUUAGACCGAGGUCAACCUUUUCAGCUGGUACCGUGGUUUACACUGCUGGUGGAACCAUCUAGGGAGGCCUGCCACUGUUUGCUGAGCUCCGGGUGAGGAUGAAGACACUUUGACAUGGCCAGCUUCAGACUCGGGAUCUGUCGGUGUUAGCAGCCGAAGGAGAAUGAGGAGGAAGAGGAGGAGAAAGAGGAGGAGGAAGUAAGACAGAGGGGGACAAGAGGACCAAGAGGGCACAUGGCUGAGGAGGAGGAGAACAACAACAACAACAACAACAACAACAACAACAAGAAGCUUGGUGUUUUCAGGAUGUGUUCCUGAGUCUCGUGAGUAGCACAUGGCAGUUGUUGUCACCUUGGGCUGAGCCGUGAAGAUUCUCACCCUCCCUUGUUGGGGAUGAACUCCGGGAUUCUAAGGAGAGGUCAGCAGGUGUUUCACAGACUGUUCCUGUUGGAGGAUUUGUCUGAUACUCUUCUCCUGAUUAGUCUGGGCUCUACAUUUCCCCAAGGGUGAAACUUGGAAGCCCUCUCCAGGAUGCAGCAGGUAGCUGAGGAGAAAACGAAGACUGACCAGCCCAGAGCUCAGAGCUUCCUCCCAUGCUCAGGAUUUACCACCAAUGCCAUUACAUCGGCCUCUUCUUGUAUGCCUCUGGAAACCACAUGUGUCCUCUGUUUGUAAUGGUUUGGCUAUGGUUGCUGGCCCCUCUUGGACAUUGUUUUCAGAACUUAAAGAAACAUUGCUUUAAAGAUUUAUUAGAACAUAUUUAAAAUAAAACCAUCUUCUCAUUUAGUAUGCAA